RNAcentral lists this ribosomal RNA (877 nucleotides) under uncultured archaeon. RNAcentral describes it as "bacterial SSU rRNA". It matches the Rfam family "Archaeal small subunit ribosomal RNA", at positions 31 to 914 of the family's 1478-position model. The record is from RNAcentral.
UAUCGGAUUGAUACUAAGCCAUGCGAGUCAUUGCAGUAAUGCAAGGCAGACGGCUCAGUAACGCGUAGUCAACCUACCCUAUGGACGGGAAUAACCUCGGGAAACUGAGUAUAAUGCCCGAUAGAACACUAUUCCUGGAAUGGUUUGUGUUCCAAAUGAUUUAUCGCCGUAGGAUGGGACUGCGGCCUAUCAGUUUGUUGGUGAGGUAAUGGCCCACCAAGACUAUUACAGGUACGGGCUCUGAGAGGAGUAGCCCGGAGAUGGGUACUGAGACACGGACCCAGGCCCUAUGGGGCGCAGCAGGCGAGAAAACUUUGCAAUGUGCGAAAGCACGACAAGGUUAAUCCGAGUGGUUUGUGCUAAACGAACCUUUUGACAGUCCUAGAAACACUGUUGAAUAAGGGGUGGGCAAGUUCUGGUGUCAGCCGCCGCGGUAAAACCAGCACCUCAAGUGGUCAGGAUGAUUAUUGGGCCUAAAGCAUCCGUAGCCGGCUCUGUAAGUUUUCGGUUAAAUCUGUACGCUCAACGUACAGGCUGCCGGGAAUACUGCAGAGCUAGGGAGUGGGAGAGGUAGACGGUACUCGGUAGGAAGGGGUAAAAUCCUUUGAUCUAUUGAUGACCACCUGUGGCGAAGGCGGUCUACCAGAACACGUCCGACGGUGAGGGAUGAAAGCUGGGGGAGCAAACCGGAUUAGAUACCCGGGUAGUCCCAGCUGUAAACUAUGCAAACUCAGUGAUGCAUUGGCUUGUGGCCAAUGCAGUGCUGCAGGGAAGCCGUUAAGUUUGCCGCCUGGGAAGUACGUACGCAAGUAUGAAACUUAAAGGAAUUGGCGGGGGAGCACCACAAGGGGUGAAGCCUGCGGUUCAAUUGGAUGUC